UACGUAGGGUGCAAGCGUUGUCCGGAAUUAUUGGGCGUAAAGAGCUCGUAGGCGGCUUGUCACGUCGGGUGUGAAAGCCCGGGGCUUAACCCCGGGUCUGCAUUCGAUACGGGCAGGCUAGAGUUCGGUAGGGGAGAUCGGAAUUCCUGGUGUAGCGGUGAAAUGCGCAGAUAUCAGGAGGAACACCGGUGGCGAAGGCGGAUCUCUGGGCCGAUACUGACGCUGAGGAGCGAAAGCGUGGGGAGCGAACAGG
This 253-nucleotide ribosomal RNA is filed under the name uncultured bacterium. RNAcentral's name for it is "partial 16S ribosomal RNA". It matches the Rfam family "Bacterial small subunit ribosomal RNA", at positions 524 to 776 of the family's 1533-position model. The record is from RNAcentral.